Molecule: ribosomal RNA, 257 nt
Filed under: uncultured bacterium
Lineage: Bacteria
Description: partial 16S ribosomal RNA
Rfam family: Bacterial small subunit ribosomal RNA
Source: RNAcentral
UACGUAGGGUGCGAGCGUUGUCCGGAAUUAUUGGGCGUAAAGAGCUUGUAGGCGGUUUGUCGCGUCUGCCGUGAAAGCCCAGGGCUUAACCCUGGGUCUGCGGUGGGUACGGGCAGACUAGAGUGUGGUAGGGGAGACUGGAAUUCCUGGUGUAGCGGUGGAAUGCGCAGAUAUCAGGAGGAACACCGAUGGCGAAGGCAGAUCUCUGGGCCGUGAACUGACGCUGAGGAGCGAAAGCGUGGGAGCGAACAGGAUAG